AGAAAAACCCAGCAUUCUAUUUAAAAACAAGCAAACAAACAAACAAAACCUUUCCCCAUAUUGAGAGGGAACUGAGAGACCAAAGAAUGACUUGGACAAGUCCAGCUUGGGAUGCUCCAUGAGGAGAAAAGUCACAGGUCCAGCACCAGGCACAACUACAAAGGAGGUAACAUUGGUUUGGUCACCUUUGCCUUUCCUGGCAUGUGUAUUCCCAGUUGGACCAUUGGGUACCCACUUGAAAAACUUUCAUUAGCCAAGAGAAGCCUAAAAUAUGC
Long non-coding RNA from Pan troglodytes (chimpanzee), 275 nucleotides. RefSeq lists it as uncharacterized. Lineage: Eukaryota; Metazoa; Chordata; Mammalia; Primates; Hominidae. The transcript has 3 exons. The record is from RefSeq and is a predicted model, not a curated record.